GCCAUCCCCUUCUGCGGCCCUUUCUCUUCGUGCAGAAAAGACUAGAUUCCCAGCCCACCUUCUCACGAGCGAUUCUCACCUAUCCCAUCUCUCCUCUGCCAUUCUGAUCCCAAUUCCCCUCCACCAACGAGCGUCCGCCGCCGCACCGCGUUGCCCCGGCGACCAGCGCGUCCUCCCCGCCGUCGCAGCUUCAUGUCGAGCACCUCCUCGUGCAUGGUCUACCUCCCGCCCACAUACUCCCGAUCCGGACGCAAAAGAGACAUCCAGAGCCACAGUUUCGUUGGAUCCCGCCCCGCGGCAGUGAGAUCUAGUGCGGGCCUCUGGCCGGCGUCUUACUCGUCCUUGCCGCGGCGCGAGGGGCGGACGACCAGUGGUCGCUCAAUAUCGGCGACAGCGUAAACGCGGGAUUCACCUCCAUGGACGAUUCCCUUUCGUCGAGCUCUAAGGCCACGGAUAUGCAGCUCUGUUAGCAUUGAACAAGGGUGAUGCCAAAACUCCUUCGCAUCGUUGGUCUUCCAGAUCGACGAGCUAGUUUUUUCUAUCUCUAUGUGUUGCAAGUUUCUGUUGUAGAUGUAUGUGCUAAGCAUCCUGUUCUCAAUACGUGUGCUCCAUAUAAAUAUAGAUUCAGAGAAGUACAGGCUACAUCAACUUUGUUUCUUCAAUGCUACAUCUCUCUCUUCUCUCUCCCGAAUUAUCUGAACUGAUGUUUUGGUUUUGGAUCGAA
Lolium rigidum is the source of this 724-nucleotide long non-coding RNA. RefSeq lists it as uncharacterized. The record is from RefSeq and is a predicted model, not a curated record. The transcript is spliced from 2 exons. Lineage: Eukaryota; Viridiplantae; Streptophyta; Magnoliopsida; Poales; Poaceae.